CAUUGAACGAACCUUUGGAAGAUGGAAAAACCGAUGGAGGUGCUUGCACAAAGAAGGUGGAACUCUUCGAUUAAGCCCCGAGAAGUGUUGCUCGGUGAUCAUUGCAACAUCUGUGCUACAUAACAUCUGUGAAAACCACGGCCUCCCUGUCCCAAACGACCCACCAGCCAAUGUGGAUAAUCCCGAUGAUGACGUCAACAAUAGACCAAUCCUCGAUGUCGAUGUCGAAGAAAGAGGUGUUGGAGAAAGGGCACGCUUGAUAGAUCAGCAUUUCAGGAAUAUGUAAUGAAGCCGUUGUUCUUCCACGUCAAGUCGCUUGCUCUCGAUUUUGACCCGUUCCUUCUCCACAUCAAUUAGUUCAACGGCAUGUGAAAGCUUCUUAUCUGCGAGAGACAAACCAGUUGAAGACGCCUUGGAAGAGCCAGCAGUGGGACGACAGCUCUUGGGUUGUCGGGCAGGACUUGGCGGCGGUGAAGGGGAUCGGGUGUCAUCUUCUGAGCUGCUAUCGUUCGGGCGCGUGAUGGUUGCUGUAACCUUACGAAUUCUCUGGAAAAUACAUUUGAUAGACUUAAAUGCAAAAAGCCAUUAAACAUGAGUGAGGUCUUAGUAUGUCUUUAGUUGUUAUUUACUUCCUUCUCAUAUAGAAGGCCAGUACUGAAACGGGCACGUCAGGAGAUACGUUUUCUUUCCUAAUAACGACACAAGCAAAUGAGAAAAAGCAUUGCACAGAUCGUUGUGCAGCCACCUGGAAAGUUGCGAUCUUCCCUUAUCACUGCUUAUGCCUCCAGUAAUCAA
This is a long non-coding RNA of Lineus longissimus, 795 nucleotides long. RefSeq lists it as uncharacterized. The transcript has 3 exons. The record is from RefSeq and is a predicted model, not a curated record. NCBI's taxonomy places the organism in Eukaryota, Metazoa, Nemertea, Pilidiophora, Heteronemertea, Lineidae.